AUGGAUUCGCCUCUCAGAUUAAAAAAAAAAACAAACUCGGACAGCAGCGCAAGGCUUCUCCAGCAUCUUCGACUGAUUACUUCUUCCGCUUUGGCAACAGAACAGAUUUUUAUUGAGGCGGACUCGCCGGUGUUCACCAACUUUCGGUUCUCUGAUGAAUUUGACUUCCCGGCUUGUGAUUCCGCAGACGCUGCUCUGGAACCGGGCGGAUAUGGUGCCCGGGCUGCAGGCGCGGCUGGCGCUGAGGCAGAACGUCGUUUUUGCAGAAGGCACUGGAACUGCAGGGACACACAGGCCAGCUCACGGCCAGCUGUGAGACAGUCAUCCUGCGAAUCGCCAGCCAGCAAACCCACCGUCUCUCCCCAUCAGUGCUGUGGCCCAGAGGACUGCACACAUGCUGAGCCUGCAACGCAGAAGGUCUUGGGACAGAAGCGCAGGUACACCUGUUCAGCCAGCCUCCAGAAGGAAUGAGAUCCGGGCAUUGUUCUGGUCGUGGGCAGUGUUGGAAGCCUGCAGAGUGCUCUUCAGGUCAAGCUCCCAUUGUCUUCCACUGAGCAGGUGAGUCUAUUCAUUUCCCCAGGUGGCCCUCAUACCAGUCAAUCAUUCUUCAAGGACUACUACACCUAACAGAUCCACAGAAAUGGAGGCAGUCGAAUUUGCUUUACAGCAGAAAACAAAGCUCUGUCCUGGCUGCUCCUGACAAAAUUGCGCACGCUGUUCUGCUUUUAAUCUUUCCCCAGCCUAGAGCAGACACUUCAAGUUACCAUAAUGGGUAAUAAUAGGCAAACACUUUCACUCCUUAAUUGUCAACGAUUAUAACUACACAGUGACAAAAACAUAUGAAAAAAGUAUCCUUUUGUUGAAAACGUGCAUCACAUUGUUUAUGAGUGAUAUGCUUUUGUUACCAAGUAACAAGCAUAUAAUGAACAAAGAAAUGACUGACAGACCUUACUGCAUGUUUGCUUGGAAGGGGCACUCUUUAAUUUUGAAAGGGACAGCAAAAAGCGAACUUGUUUGAAAAAUUAACAAGAUGCAGGUGUUCGGAAGGGCAAACAUAUUGGCUAAGACAUUUUAGAAGCAGUAGUUGCUGGU
Molecule: long non-coding RNA, 1092 nt
Filed under: Lepisosteus oculatus (spotted gar)
Lineage: Eukaryota; Metazoa; Chordata; Actinopteri; Semionotiformes; Lepisosteidae
Description: lncRNA (ENSLOCG00000021646.1)
Source: RNAcentral